UUCCGCUAACACCUUCCUGCAGGAGUUGCUUGUGCUGGGCUUUUUGGUAUCGUUCCAAAGUGUCCGUGGCUCCAGCUGUGCACAGCAGCGCAGCAUACGCUCGCCCAGAGGGUGCUGACCCUGGGGUCCGCAGCAGCCCUGACACUGGAAGCCUUUUCCUGUUGACUAAAGGCUUCAUCAUCUCUUCUCUUACCUUUAGUUUCCUUCUCCGAAAGCUUCCUCGUGAUAACAGGACACAAAUGAGAAGUCAGGAAACCGCCUGAUAUGCCCCAGUUGACCAAUUAAUCACCGGUCCGUGUGUCUGCGGUGAUGGGCCCUGACAAACAGCGGUGCUGCAAGCCCUCCUCCCCCUUCCGACUGCUUAUCUCCUCCAAAAUCCCUGGUCCUGAGCUCAGCUCUGCCCUGCCCCAGCGGCACACUGUAACAGGAAUGGCUCUGUCCCAAGUAAACAGGAAAAGGAAAGCCGAGGGACGCAGCCUGUAGCUGGCACAGGUGGAGCCAAAACGCUGGGCCAUCCCAACAUUAUAACACACGUUUCUGGGUGUUUAUAACGUUUAUAAUGUUACAACACACGUUUCUGUGCCUAAGCAAACAACUCCUGACAGACCCGUGCAGCUGCUUGCUCUAGGCCCGGCCGGGACACGCGGCCUUUCCGACCAGUAUAUUCUGCUCUCCUCCAGGCCCCAGGGAGCACAAAACAGCCAACAUGAAGCCUACUCCAACUGCUCAAUCCACGUCUUGAUCUGCCUCCUGGGCCGAGGACGAGGACCGAGGCCUGUGCUGACCCAGCUCCGGCGGCAGUGGUGCAGGAACAGGAAACCAUUUUUCUCCUCUUCAAGGUUUUGGUGUAAUUUGAGAAUCAAGCCCCAUGCAGAUCGGAACACGUUCUUAAUUGCUGAUACAGAUAAGAUGUCUUGGUGUGCGUGA
This 927-nucleotide long non-coding RNA is filed under the name Anser brachyrhynchus (Pink-footed goose). Its description in RNAcentral is "lncRNA (ENSABRG00000004121.1)". Lineage: Eukaryota; Metazoa; Chordata; Aves; Anseriformes; Anatidae. The record is from RNAcentral.